GACGAACGCUGGCGGCGUGCUUAACACAUGCAAGUCGAACGGAUAGGCCCUGCUUUUGUGGGGUGCUCGAGUGGCGAACGGGUGAGUAACACGUGAGUAACCUGCCCUUGACUUUGGGAUAACUUCAGGAAACUGGGGCUAAUACCGGAUAGGAGCUCCUGCUGCAUGGUGGGGGUUGGAAAGUUUCGGCGGUUGGGGAUGGACUCGCGGCUUAUCAGCUUGUUGGUGGGGUAGUGGCUUACCAAGGCUUUGACGGGUAGCCGGCCUGAGAGGGUGACCGGCCACAUUGGGACUGAGAUACGGCCCAGACUCCUACGGGAGGCAGCAGUGGGGAAUAGUGCACAAUGGGCGGAAGCCUGAUGCAGCAACGCCGCGUGCGGGAUGACGGCCUUCGGGUUGUAAACCGCUUUCGCCUGUGACGAAGCGUGAGUGACGGUAAUGGGUAAAGAAGCACCGGCUAACUACGUG
RNAcentral lists this ribosomal RNA (468 nucleotides) under uncultured bacterium. RNAcentral describes it as "partial 16S ribosomal RNA". It matches the Rfam family "Bacterial small subunit ribosomal RNA", at positions 28 to 507 of the family's 1533-position model. The record is from RNAcentral.